UACGUAGGUGGCGAGCGUCGUCCGGAUUUAUUGGGUUUAAAGGGUGCGUAGGCGUCCCUUCAAGUUUUAGGUGAAAUGCCCAAGCUCAACUUGGGAGCUGCCUGAAAAACUGCAGGGAUUGAGUACAGAUGAGGUAGGCGGAAUUGACGGUGUAGCGGUGAAAUGCAUAGAUAUCGUCAGGAACACCGAUAGCGAAGGCAGCUUACUAAGUUGUAACUGACGCUGAGGCACGAAAGUGUGGGGAUUAAACAGG
This 253-nucleotide ribosomal RNA is filed under the name uncultured bacterium. RNAcentral describes it as "partial 16S ribosomal RNA". It matches the Rfam family "Bacterial small subunit ribosomal RNA", at positions 524 to 776 of the family's 1533-position model. The record is from RNAcentral.